GCCGGUGUGGUGGAACAGGCAGACGCGACGGACUCAAAAUUCGUUCUGGGCAACCAGGUGGGGGUUCGACUCCCCCCACCGGCA
Molecule: transfer RNA, 84 nt
Filed under: Candidatus Magnetomonas plexicatena
Lineage: Bacteria; Pseudomonadati; Nitrospirota; Nitrospiria
Description: Nitrospirales bacterium LBB_01 tRNA
Rfam family: tRNA
About the family: Transfer RNA (tRNA) molecules are approximately 80 nucleotides in length. Their secondary structure includes four short double-helical elements and three loops (D, anti-codon, and T loops).
Source: Rfam by way of RNAcentral